UGGCACAUGAUGCCUCUCCCUCAGUAGUUUGCCUGUGUAGAUGGUUGAUAGAAAGUUGUACUAAAUUAAUGUCUUCUUCCGUAGCUUGCUUAGCAUGCUCUCCCAUCAAGAAAAUGGAGUGUGGUGUGUGAAGAUGUGAUGUGUGAAGAUUUGAGGACGGGAAUUGGUGUGAAGAUUUGAGGACGGGAAUUGGUGUGAAGAUUUGAGGACGGGAAUUGGAUAUGUGUACCAAUAUGAAACUCCGGCUGGAUCUGAAAUUGAGGUGUACUCAAACAGUGUUUGUGGAGAUCUUAUGACUCCAAUAGCCUACUGUGGCAUGAACAAGCCUUUUGAGGCACAUCUCUCUGAUAAGGUGAUAAAUGUGAACAACAGUGCUGUCAUCCUCUCUGAAUGCCUGAAUCUGACAUUCACAUUCUUUCAUGUUCUCCAGGGCAAGGUGGAGGAGCGCCAUUUGUAUUACAUUGUUGCAGGGCAAGGUGGAGGAGUGCCAUUUGUAUUACAUUGUUGCAGGGCAAGGUGGAGGAGUGCCAUUUGUAUUACAUUGUUGCAGGUAAAGAAUGAUUUUCCUAUUUUCUUUCAUUUUAAACUUCUUGCACUUUCAUAUUGAUACAUAUAUCCAAGGCAGUUAACGCUAAUUUCUCUGGAUAAGAGCGUCUGCUAAAAUGUAAAAAACGUAGACUGACAAUUCAACUGACAUUUUAAUUUACAAUCCGACUGACACCUCGGACAACACAUCAGGUAAGUACUCUUAACUAAUAUAAAGACAGCUCAUUACUGUCUAUAGCAUCUCCAUCUGAAAUAAAAUACAUAUUCAAUUGAAAUGAUUUUACUCUCUGAUUAAACUCAGGAAAUGGAGACAAAGCCAAAGCCACUGGCCACACAAAGGAAAUCACUGCUGGUGUUCUUGGUUCUGCUGCUGGGCAUUGCUGGUUUCUUAGUGUACAGAUAUGGCAACAUUCCUUGGAGAGACAAACAUCCCUUAGAUCGGCUGGGUCGGGACUACCUUAACACCAACAGGGAAAAACAAAGGUGAGUCAGACUCUGUCAACCUGAGGACAGUUUUAGUAGUUACGUGGUUUAAUGUGCUGAAGUGUUUCAUGUUACAUGACUAAAUAUCAGUUAUCAUGCCAGACAACAGCUUAGAGCAGCAAGAAGUAACACGUGUUGUUGUUUUAACUUCUCUAAGGGACAACGGAGAACCUGAUCCAGCUGCUGGGGACGCCGAGUCUCUCCGAUAUGCGCUUGUCUAUAAUCUAUAACUGCAUGUGUCCCUUUGAACCAUCAGGGACCAGGGGGAUGGGGUGGAAGAGGAGAGGGAGCCACCACACAGUCAGGAGACACAUGUUGAGUCCUCUCUGCUGAAUGGGCAUCUUGUGAACAGGUUAACCUUUCUCUGAGAAAGACCCUCAUUACUUCAUUACCGGUUGGGUUUCAUUAUCCUCAGUCAGAGCUGAUCCCAUGAGUCAUUGAUCCCACAGGUUUAAUAGAAAGACCCGUUUGUUUAACACGUGCUCCUUAUAUUCUAAUACCUGUAAUACCUAAUGAGCAUGGUAAAUGCUCAUGCAAGGAGAGAGAGGUGAGCCCAUUCAGCCAAUGGGCCGUGAGGGAACAGAUACUGAAUUCUCUCAGAAGAGAAAUGCUGGAUUUCAUUUUGAGACAGUUUGCUACAGCAGGAAAAUAAUCCUGCAGCAACAGGAAAUGUGAAUUGUUACGUGAGUUGAUAGAUUUUUCAUUAGGGCAAAUCAAAUCGGUCAUUUUAAGGUAGAAAUUACCAACUUUCAAUGCCCUUUUAAACUUUGAAUACACUACAGGUUUGCAUUUCCUGCUGUGCAGGAAAAUGCUCAGCAACCAAAGAGUGAUCAAUUUAAGAUCGUACCUCUGUAAUCUCACAAUGGGGCAUGUAAUAACGUUUGUCUUGUGGUGGAUCAAUGAUGAUGUCAGGUAAACUUCACUACAUAUUGAUACAUCCACAACUCAUUGGUAUAAUGUCACCAACCCCAUUUUCCCACGGUUCCUCUGUCUGUUUAGGGGACAGUAUUGUGGUGGAUCAUGAAUGUGAAUGUUGAUGUCUUAUUACUCCAACAGGGUUAACGAUGAGACUAAGGAAGCGACUCCUGGUGCACAGAGUCCAGGACCUCCUCAGACGAAUGGAGGACCUCCCAUGUCUGACAGGUUGGAGAACAACCCUGUUGGUCAGUGGAUGAAGAAAACUGCUCUGGUGAACAAGCAGGACCAGGACUGGUCAGCAACGGCAUGAAGCCAGUUGAAAAUAUAUAGCAUAUAAGAUGAAACUAAGUGUAAAUAUAAUAAAAAAUAACAUGAUAUACACUGUAAUAUAGAACAGUAUAAUAUAAUAUGACAUGAUAUAAUAUCGUAACACUUACUUGUAUAGUGUUAUAUAUUCUAAUGAAUGCAUUCUUAACAACAUGAAUGAUGCAUUAAUGCAUACAUAGGACAUAACUGUAUAGUAAAAUUAUAAUAUAAUACUGUGCUGGUAAGCUGCUAGCUGUGGGGUUGCCCCCAGCUGUGGUUUCUAUUAUUCAGAGUAUCUAAGCUCAACUUCAAAUCCAUAGUUUUUAGCUUAGUUCUUACCGUAAACUAGCACUUCUUAGAGACAAAGUUAUGGGACAUGCUGUAUAACUACUUACCAUUCUGAAGUGUAACAGUCAAGUUUAUAUGUAACAAUUGUUCAUCCCUUUUUUAAAUGUUUAUUUAUAUAUUUGUUUGCUUGAUUAGAUUGAAUUAGUAUGACUAAUGCAUUAUUUUACCCUCCCGUAUAGAGGGACAUUAUUUUACCCUCCUGUAUAGAGGGACAUUAUUUUACCCUCCUGUAUAGAGGGACAUUAUUUUACCCUCCUGUAUAGAGGGACAUUAUUUUACCCUCCCAUAUAGAGGGACAUUAUUUUACCCUCCCGUAUAGAGGGACAUUAUUUUACCCUCCCGUAUAGAGGGACAUUAUUUUACCCUCCCGUAUAGAGGGACAUUAUUUUACCCUCCCGUAUAGAGGGACAUUAUUUUACCCUCCCGUAUAGAGGGACAUUAUUUUACCCUCC
Long non-coding RNA from Oncorhynchus tshawytscha (Chinook salmon), 3053 nucleotides. RefSeq lists it as uncharacterized. NCBI's taxonomy places the organism in Eukaryota, Metazoa, Chordata, Actinopteri, Salmoniformes, Salmonidae. The record is from RefSeq and is a predicted model, not a curated record. The transcript is spliced from 8 exons.